Long non-coding RNA from Harpia harpyja (harpy eagle), 2131 nucleotides. RefSeq lists it as uncharacterized. The record is from RefSeq and is a predicted model, not a curated record. The transcript has 2 exons. Lineage: Eukaryota; Metazoa; Chordata; Aves; Accipitriformes; Accipitridae.
AUGGCGAUGAGCCCCCAGUUUGGCAGGCCUGGGUCAGCUGCUGGCAGCACCUCCAGUGCCCGUGCUUGAGGCAGACAAGCUGGGGGGCUGCUCUGCGCUGGCCGGGGGCUCCCAGCAUGCUGCAGGUGGUGGGGCUUCACAGGUACCUCCUGCCGCCGCGGCGUCCCCCCAGGGAUGCACUUGGGAGCCUGCUGCUGCCCCAGCUCUCCGGCAGUGCUGUCGAGUGCGGUGGCGUGCCGUCUCCUCCAGCUGAGUUCAGCUGUGGACGGAGAGCCUGGGCUUGGCCUCUGCUGGCCGAGGCCCCUGGCCCAGCCAGCCCAUGCUCCUCAUUGACGUCUUUAAUGAUCCCCUGGUUUGGGUGGCUCCUUGCUCUCACCAGUGUUUUCUCGUGCUGCAGUGCUCUACUGAGAAAGUCUCUAUCCCGGGUUUUCUCUGGAAGAAAGGCAGCCAGGUUGCGCCUGUGCUCUUUGGAGGCUAGAAUGUGUUUGGGCCGAACCUGGCUGCUCAGCCCCCAUGGAAGGGACGUGCUCGCUGAGUGAGGGGGGUCGGGGCUCGGCAUCCCGGCCAGGUCCCAGGGCUGCUGGGACUGAGUCAGCCCGCAGUGCGGCUCUGUCCGGAGCAGGUCUGGGUGGGCAGUUUUAUUGUCUCACUGGCCAGAACGGCCGGUACAGAGCUGGUGCUGACGUGGUGCCAGCUGCGGGAGGACAGACAGUGUCUCAUCUGGCACAGGCUGUGAGCACGGAAUUAGCCUGCCAGAAAUCCAAGCGGACGGGUGUUGGACGAGCAGGGUGGGCCGGAUCAGCACUCUGCGUUGUUUGGCGGUGGUGCUUCUGGUCCGGGGCGAGGGGGGCGGUGGCUGGAUUCAGCCCCCCUCAGCCCCGGGCUCCUCUGUGAGGCUCUGCGGGUCCCUCGCAUCCAUCCGGCACCUCCUGCCCCUGGCGAGGCUUCCCAGGGUGCGGUGUGCCCGGUAGAGGCAGCAGAGUUGCUGCUGCUGAACUGCCAGCCUGGUGCACGUGCAUCUUCCGGCUCUUUCUCGAGCUAAUUAAAUACAUUCUUGAGAGGUUUAUGCCCUUAUCUAUCACAGGGAGACAGCAUCAGUGAGACCCGUCCCCGGGCUGGCGUGAGCUGGGAAGGGGCUGGCUGCACGAGCGCUUCUGCUACAGCAGUGCUGCCUGACAGUGACUUGGGUGCCGAGUCCCCGCGUGCAGCUGGCUGCUGCGAUCACCGUCAUGCCAGAAGCCGAGAGAGACCGAGGGGGUGCCUUUUUUUCCCAUUACCCCUCUUUAAAGCAACGCUGCGUAGCUCUGCAGUUGCUGCAUGGGAAGUGGAGCUGGGGAGGACGCAGAGGGCUCCUGUGGCUAAUGCCCCCUCUCUGAUGUCCUCUCUCCAUAGCUCAUGCUGGAGGAGCCUGGCACUGUCUGUGACCAGCCGUGGGUCUGGCUCCGUCUGUGGGCUUGGGGUGUCUUUGUGCUCCCUGUUGGGGGAAGCUCUGCAUUUCUGUCAGAAGGGGGGUUGGAGGAACCCCUGGCAAAAGCUGCCUCCCAGGCAGAGGAAACGGGAUGGAUUCGUGUUGGACUAGCAGGUGUCCUCUCUUUUUGCCUUCAGUCAGCUGCUGUCUGAAACAAGUGAAGGAUUUUCCCAGCGGGUGAUGGUUCCAGGGCAAAGCAGCCUGACCUCUGGGAGCCCCAGGGGCUCGCAUGGAUCCUCCUGAUGCUGGCUUGACUGAUGUAAAGUCGCUUAAAGCUUCCCUGUUGCCCUGCAGAGAUACCCCAUGUCCUUUGUCUCAAAGGUCGGAGCCGUGGCUGCCGUUCCCGCAGGGCUUCGGGACCAUCGACGGCCUUUCCAGGAUGCGUUUGGAGCUGCUGAAAUGCAAUCAGCCGUGGCUGCGGCGCUGCCUGGCCCCUCCUCGCCUGCCAGAACGGCUGCUGCUGCUGGUUGGUUUUUUUUUUUUUUCCCCUUCUGGAGGGAUCCUGUGGCUUCCUUCCCAGAACCUGAGACCUCAGAGCCACGGUCCAAGGCCACCAGCUUCCACCCUCUCCUGUGCUGCUGAUUCAUCACUGCUGGUUAGUUAAAAAAGGGUAAUCAGCAAAUUACUGAAAUAUAAGUAAAAUAAACAAGGUGGGCAGGAGAA